UUCUAAAUGCCAAGCUUAAGGGCAAUUCUGACUAGCGUGUUCAGCUUUACAUCUUGGCCAAUUCACUUGACCCCAACAUCCUUCAUUUGCUACAUAAAAAAGAUGGCUUGGAGAAAUAUCCGAGCACAUGUGAAACAGGUAUUGCUAAGGAUCGUAGGAUAUGGGAUUAUUUAUGACAAAUUUGAGCAAGCCAAACAAACUUUAUUUGUCCUACCUUCAGUUCCAUCCACUUUGGUUGCCCCAUCUAUACCCAUUCCUUUAGUAGGCAUUAUGGAUCGCAUAGCAGAACUUGUUGUCAAAGUGUUUAGCGCUCCUGUCAUCGUUGUUGCUAAAAAUGCUUCUAUUGCUACCCCAACUACAAAUGUUGGGCCUUUAGACCAAGCUAAAGGAGAUGGAGGCAAUGUCGACACCUCUUUAAUUGAGCCAACUGAUAUGGUAACUGAUUCAGUUGCAAAUCCUUGACUGUCCUUUUGACCUUAUGCCUUUCUUGCUUUGAAUAAGUUUGAUUUCAAGCACCCUUUUAGACUAGCUAGGUAACCGACUUGUAGUUUCCAUUGACAAUUUGUUUUUUGCUUUUGUCCUUAUUCCCAUAUGGAAGGAUAUAAUUUUUUCAAGUACUUAGCAUUUAGACUUCGUUCCAACUCUUUUCCAUCUGAAUUAACUAGUUGAUAUGCUUUAUUUUGCAAGGUAUGACUAAUUAUAAAUGGCCAUUCCCAGUUUAAGGACCACUUGCCAAGUUCUAAGUCUUUUUCCCCUAGAGGCAAAAUUGACUUCCAAAUGAUAUCUCCUUCACUAAACCUCUUCAGUCUAACAUGCUUAUUAUAUGUCCUUUCUACUCUUCUCUUGUUAAGCUGAACCUAAUCAAAUGCCACGAGCCGGUCUUCGUUUAACUCGUCCAAUUCAUCAAGCAUGGCUUAUUGAUACUCAUCCAAACUUAACUUAGCAUGUACUUUUUUACUAGUCCUAAUGAUCACACAUUAAUUUCUAAUGGCAGGAUUGCAUCAUGUCCAUAAGUCAGCUGAAAUGGUGUACAACUAGUAGCUUUGGUUGGAGUAUUUCGGCAAACCCACAAUGCUUCUUGCAAUGUUUUGUGCCAUCUUUUCAGAUUUUUCUCUAAACUCUUCUUGAAGAUCUACCAAGAUCUUGUUAGUGGCUUCCGCUUGUUCAUUUGCUUGGGUAUAGUAUGGUGUUUAAUGUAUCAUCUUAAUGUCAAAUUGUCGUAUGAACAAGCUUACUUUGUCUCCAGUGAACAUAGUUCCUUGGUCAGUAGUGAUUGACUCAGGUAUGCCAAAUCUGUAAAUGAUAUUUUGUUUAGUGAACUUGAUUAUGGCUUCCUGAGUUACACUGACCAAUGGUUCAACUUCAACCCAUUUUGUAAAAUAAUUAGUUGCUACCAGAAUAAAGCUAUGUCUUUUGGAUGAGGCUGGGUGUAUCUUGCUGAUAGCAUCCAUAGCCCAUCCUCUGAGUGGCCAAGGCUUAACUACUGCAUGCAUUUAUUCUAAUGGAAUCUUUUGUAAAGGCCCAAACCUUUGGAACUCCUCACACCCCUUGGCAUAUUGAUUACAAUCAGUCAUAAUUGUUUGCCAAUAAUAUCCAUGUCGAACCAUCAACCAAUUCAUUACAAGUCCUGGUCUAUGAGCCCUACAUAAUCCUUCAUGCAUUUCUCCCAUCAAUCACAUUGAUUCCACUUAGUUUACGUAAUUCAGCAAGACCCCAUUGGAACUUCUCCCAUCAAUCACAUUGAUUCCACUUAGUUUACGCAUUUCAGCAAGACCCCAUUGAAACUUCUCCUAUACAACUCAUCUCUUAUCAUGGUGUAUUUCAAAGCUUUCUACUUCAAUUUGAACUCAUCUUUGUUAGAUGGAUUUUGUAAAUAGUCCAUCAUUUCCUGAUGCCAUAGGUCUACUGAUCCAAUUUCCAUUGUGCAAUAUUCGUUAAUGGUUGAUUCAAAUGCCCCAUCUUUUAGCUUCUUGUAUCUAGAGGCGUGUUAGGCUAGAUGAUUAGCCUCAUCAUUUUCCCCUCCAGAAACAUGUUCUAUGGUUAUAUCCACAAAACAAUUAAGUAAUCGUUUAGCCGAUUAUAGAACUCUGCUAAGGCGAUUGGGUUAGAUUUAUAGUCUCCCUUCAUAUGUUGAAUCACCAAUUGGGAAUGCCCAUAAAUCUGUGUGCAUUUCAUAUCCUUUUGUAAUAAUAGCUAUACACCCCAUAUUAAUGCUUUAUACUCUGCUUGAUUGUUAGAAUAUUCAAGAUCAAUUGGCCUAGAAUAUCUCCAUACUCUUCUUGUUGGGCUAAUGGUGGUUACUCCAAUUCCUACCCCUUCUUGUGUUCGUGAAC
This 2333-nucleotide long non-coding RNA is filed under the name Glycine max (soybean). RNAcentral describes it as "long non-coding RNA (GMAX_LNC004163)". Lineage: Eukaryota; Viridiplantae; Streptophyta; Magnoliopsida; Fabales; Fabaceae. The record is from RNAcentral.